GGAGAGGUGCCAGAGCGGUCGAAUGGGCUGGUUUCGAAAACCAGUGUAGUCGUAAGGCUACCCAGGGUUCGAAUCCCUGCCUCUCCGCCA
This 90-nucleotide transfer RNA is filed under the name Planctomycetota bacterium. Its description in RNAcentral is "tRNA-Ser". It matches the Rfam family "tRNA". From Rfam's summary of the family: Transfer RNA (tRNA) molecules are approximately 80 nucleotides in length. Their secondary structure includes four short double-helical elements and three loops (D, anti-codon, and T loops). RNAcentral also lists the same sequence under 1 other name. The record is from RNAcentral. Lineage: Bacteria; Pseudomonadati; Planctomycetota.